This 70-nucleotide transfer RNA is filed under the name Anolis pachypus. RNAcentral's name for it is "tRNA-Ala". The record is from RNAcentral. Lineage: Eukaryota; Metazoa; Chordata; Lepidosauria; Squamata; Anolidae.
UAAGGCUUGCGGGAAACUAACCCGCAUCUCCUGAAUGCAACCCAAGCACUUUCAUUAAGCUAAAACCUUU